Molecule: ribosomal RNA, 684 nt
Filed under: Cibicidoides wuellerstorfi
Lineage: Eukaryota; Foraminifera; Rotaliida; Anomalinidae
Description: partial 18S ribosomal RNA
Rfam family: Eukaryotic small subunit ribosomal RNA
Source: RNAcentral
GAGAGCGCGUGUCUUAGUUUUCGCUUUGCUCAUACAAUUAGGUCCUGAAAACAACGAACGUGACCGCAACCUCUUGUUGCCUUUAUACCAAACAUGUUUUGCGUCAAUUUUCGAAUUGCGCGCAUUUCAUGAAAAAAGGCUUUUUAAACUAGAAGGGACCGCUGUUACUUUCUUAACCCARAGGAAGGUUGCGGCAAUAACAGGUCUGUGAUGCCCUUAGAUGUUCCGGGCUGCACACGUGCUACAAUGAUUAUUGCAGUGAGCAUCUCAUUUUUACACACCGCAUGCGCGAGUCCAUUUAUUCACCUUCGGGUGUUUUAAAUGUGUAUCUCUGCGCGCGGUAAAGCCUGCUUCGACUAGUAAGUGGGUAAUCAAUUAGAAGUAAUGAUUUCCUUUUUUUUAGCACACAUAUAUACGGCGUCUAUGCCCGGGUUACCUUGUUGUAGCUUUUGUGCGUAUAGAUGUUUUUUCCGUAUGUGCGAUUGUCAAUUCAUGGUGGGGACAGACCAUUGUUAAUUGUUGGUCUCGGUCUUAACUAGGAAUGCCUUGUACGGGUCUUUGGUUCAACAAAUCACCCGGAAUACGUCCCUGCCCUUUGUACACACCGCCCGUCGCUCUUACCGGAUGGACUUCUCUGUGAGUUUGAGGGACUGGGAACGCAGGAAUUUAUUUCUGCACACGUAG